UUUUACACAAUGAGAAGGAAUAGUAAAAAGUGAGGUAGUUUAGAGAGUACAUGGCUGGUGAAAAUGUAUCUACUAAUCUUUUGAAGCUCGCCUUUUAGUGUUAAGCGCCUGAAAGUAUAGUAGGGGCUUACGGUGACGACCGUUAAUCCGUCAGAGGUUAGUAUAAUUAGUUUAUUUGAUUUUACUAAUGAAUUUAGGUGGUACCACGUCAAUUUACGUCCUAUAA
Molecule: non-coding RNA, 226 nt
Filed under: Enterococcus columbae
Lineage: Bacteria; Bacillati; Bacillota; Bacilli; Lactobacillales; Enterococcaceae
Description: T-box sequence
Rfam family: T-box leader
About the family: Uncharged tRNA acts as the effector for transcription antitermination of genes in the T-box leader family.
Source: RNAcentral